This is a long non-coding RNA of Mustela erminea (ermine), 656 nucleotides long. RefSeq lists it as uncharacterized. The transcript is spliced from 4 exons. The record is from RefSeq and is a predicted model, not a curated record. Lineage: Eukaryota; Metazoa; Chordata; Mammalia; Carnivora; Mustelidae.
AUUUCACUCCACAGCCCAGCUCCCUGUCGCUCCGGCCUGAAAUGUAGCCACAGAUCUGUUUUUGCCUUUUCAAGCCCCAGACACAGAUUAAUGUGUUCUGUUCAACAACGUGCCCUCUCCUGAGGACGGCACACCUCUUCCUCCCAUGGGCGUGGGAGCACCAACAACAGCCGGUCUCAUUUUGUUUCCUCUGCUUCACACAGAUGAUUACAGAUGCAGAUCUCUGGCCUCCAAAUCUAGGAACUCUUCUCUAAGAGGAGUACUACUCUUCCCUGGUUGGGUAAAUCUUCAAGGACUGCAUACCGAUAAACCAAUCGAUGGAUCCUACCCAGAAGAAGGAUGGGAUUAAAACCAUUUCUCAUUUGUGAAUCAAGAAGCAAGCCAAGAUGACUGAAAGAAUUGUUUACCACAGAAAUCUUUUUACUUAGGCAAACCACACUUAUAUUGAAACUGGAUUCUGCUCCUGUUACCCCACUGAAAUUGCUCUAGAAAAAUCCAGUAACUUCCAAAAUGGCCUACCACUUUCAACUUACAUUACACCAUUUGGCAAGUAGAUAAAGUACAAGAGAAUGACCCAAUUGACUGUUACUACUACAGUAUAGAAAUGAAGUUCCUGCUAUGAUACGUGUGCUGGGGAUAGAUUUCAGCCUUGCAGA